GUUGCAGUACACAUAGUAUUCAUAGUGUUUUGUGUUGAGAGCAUGAUCGCAGGGACCUUCCUCAUCUUUGGUGCGCUGAUGGUAACAUUACUACUCGGCGCCAAACAUUUACUCGCAAUGGACCGUGUUAAUAACGAAAUUCCAAUUACAAAUUUAACUGGAUUCGGCGGUGACAGGGUCAACUUGGUUUUAAGAAGAUUAAAGAUGUAUAAAGAA
Molecule: long non-coding RNA, 216 nt
Organism: Pieris brassicae (large cabbage white)
Lineage: Eukaryota; Metazoa; Arthropoda; Insecta; Lepidoptera; Pieridae
Exons: 3
Source: RefSeq, a predicted model, not a curated record